Molecule: microRNA precursor, 124 nt
Filed under: Hordeum vulgare
Lineage: Eukaryota; Viridiplantae; Streptophyta; Magnoliopsida; Poales; Poaceae
Description: microRNA MIR1122
Rfam family: MIR1120/MIR1122 microRNA precursor family
Source: RNAcentral
UUACUACUCCCUCCGUCCGAAAAUACUUGUCCUGAGGAUGAAUGUACCUAGACCUAAUUUAGUUUUAUGUACAUUCAUUAUAUCCAUUUCUAGAUCAAGUAUUUUUGGACGGAGGGAGUAUUCA